UACGUAGGGUGCAAGCGUUAAUCGGAAUUACUGGGCGUAAAGCGUGCGCAGGCGGUUUUGUAAGCCAGAUGUGAAAUCCCCGGGCUCAACCUGGGAAUGGCAUUUGGGACUGCAAGGCUAGAGUGUGGCAGAGGAGACUGGAAUUCCCGGUGUAGCAGUGAAAUGCGUAGAUAUCGGGAGGAAUACCGAUGGCGAAGGCAGGUCUCUGGGCUGACACUGACGCUCAUGCACGAAAGCGUGGGGAGCAAACAGG
Molecule: ribosomal RNA, 253 nt
Filed under: uncultured bacterium
Lineage: Bacteria
Description: partial 16S ribosomal RNA
Rfam family: Bacterial small subunit ribosomal RNA
Source: RNAcentral